This 319-nucleotide ribosomal RNA is filed under the name uncultured bacterium. RNAcentral describes it as "bacterial SSU rRNA". It matches the Rfam family "Bacterial small subunit ribosomal RNA", at positions 148 to 507 of the family's 1533-position model. The record is from RNAcentral.
CUCGGGAAACUGGGGGUAAUACCGUAUACGCCUUCGGGAAGGAUUAUCGAGAAGGAUCGCCGCGUUGGAUUAGGUAGUUGGUGGGGUAAGUGGCCUACCAAGCCGACGAUCCAUAGCUGGUUUGAGAGGAUGAUCAGCCACACUGGGACUGAGACACGGCCCAGACUCCUACGGGAGGCAGCAGUGGGGAAUCUUAGACAAUGGGCGCAAGCCUGAUCUAGCCAUGCCGCGUGAGCGAUGAAGGCCUUAGGGUUGUAAAGCUCUUUCAGGGGGGAAGAUAAUGACUGUACCCCCAGAAGAAGCCCCGGCUAACUCCGUG